This 83-nucleotide transfer RNA is filed under the name Archaeoglobus sp. Its description in RNAcentral is "tRNA-Leu". It matches the Rfam family "tRNA". Rfam says of the family: Transfer RNA (tRNA) molecules are approximately 80 nucleotides in length. Their secondary structure includes four short double-helical elements and three loops (D, anti-codon, and T loops). Further hydrogen bonds mediate the characteristic L-shaped molecular structure. tRNAs have two regions of fundamental functional importance: the anti-codon, which is responsible for specific mRNA codon recognition, and the 3' end, to which the tRNAs corresponding amino acid is attached (by aminoacyl-tRNA synthetases). tRNAs cope with the degeneracy of the genetic code in two manners: having more than one tRNA (with a specific anti-codon) for a particular amino acid; and 'wobble' base-pairing, i.e. permitting non-standard base-pairing at the 3rd anti-codon position. RNAcentral also lists the same sequence under 4 other names. Lineage: Archaea; Methanobacteriati; Methanobacteriota; Archaeoglobi; Archaeoglobales; Archaeoglobaceae. The record is from RNAcentral.
GCGGGGGUUGCCGAGUGGCCAAAGGCGUAGGAUUCAGGGUCCUAUCCCGUAGGGGUUCGGGGGUUCGAAUCCCUCCCCCCGCA